This 231-nucleotide unclassified non-coding RNA is filed under the name plant metagenome. Its description in RNAcentral is "partial contains small subunit ribosomal RNA, internal transcribed spacer 1, and 5.8S ribosomal RNA". The record is from RNAcentral.
UCUCCGUUGGUGAACCAGCGGAGGGAUCAUUACCGAGUUCCAGCAACUCCCAACCCUUGCGAACCGUACCCCAGUCUGUUCUCGUUGCUUCCGGCAGGCGGGGGGGGCCACCUGGCCCCGCCCACUGCCGGGGGCGUCAGGCCCUCUGAACCUUUAUAACUCAACCACUGAAGCCCGUCUGAGCAAAACAAAAAAUAAUCAAAACUUUCAACAACGGAUCUCUUGGCUCUG